Molecule: ribosomal RNA, 495 nt
Filed under: uncultured bacterium
Lineage: Bacteria
Description: partial 16S ribosomal RNA
Rfam family: Bacterial small subunit ribosomal RNA
Source: RNAcentral
GACGAACGCUGGCGGCGUGCCUAAUACAUGCAAGUAGAACGCUGAAGGAGGAGCUUGCUCUUCUGGAUGAGUUGCGAACGGGUGAGUAACGCGUAGGUAACCUGCCUGGUAGCGGGGGAUAACUAUUGGAAACGAUAGCUAAUACCGCAUAAGAGUAGAUGUUGCAUGACAUUUGCUUAAAAGGUGCAAUUGCAUCACUACCAGAUGGACCUGCGUUGUAUUAGCUAGUUGGUGGGGUAACGGCUCACCAAGGCGACGAUACAUAGCCGAACUGAGAGGGUGAUCGGCCACACUGGGACUGAGACACGGCCCAGAGUCCUACGGGAGGCAGCAGUAGGGAAUCUUCGGCAAUGGACGGAAGUCUGACCGAGCAACGCCGCGUGAGUGAAGAAGGUUUUCGGAUCGUAAAGCUCUGUUGUAAGAGAAGAACGAGUGUGAGAGUGGAAAGUUCACACUGUGACGGUAUCUUACCAGAAAGGGACGGCUAACUACGUG